Molecule: small nucleolar RNA, 83 nt
Organism: Tachyglossus aculeatus (Australian echidna)
Lineage: Eukaryota; Metazoa; Chordata; Mammalia; Monotremata; Tachyglossidae
Product: small nucleolar RNA SNORD60
Exons: 1
Source: RefSeq, a predicted model, not a curated record
AACCGAUAAAGAUGCUCGGCGAUUUCUGACACCUCAUACAACGGCUGCUUCCGCAGCCUGAUUCUAACGCUGAGCUGAGGCUU